UACGGAGGGAGCUAGCGUUAUUCGGAAUUAUUGGGCGUAAAGAGCUCGUAGGCGGUUUGUCGCGUCUGCCGUGAAAGUCCGGGGCUUAACCCCGGAUCUGCGGUGGGUACGGGCAGACUAGAGUGCAGUAGGGGAGACUGGAAUUCCUGGUGUAGCGGUGAAAUGCGCAGAUAUCAGGAGGAACACCGAUGGCGAAGGCAGGUCUCUGGGCUGUAACUGACGCUGAGGAGCGAAAGCAUGGGGAGCAAACAGG
Molecule: ribosomal RNA, 253 nt
Filed under: uncultured bacterium
Lineage: Bacteria
Description: partial 16S ribosomal RNA
Rfam family: Bacterial small subunit ribosomal RNA
Source: RNAcentral